RNAcentral lists this ribosomal RNA (429 nucleotides) under Bacteroidota bacterium. RNAcentral's name for it is "Bacteroidetes bacterium partial 16S ribosomal RNA". It matches the Rfam family "Bacterial small subunit ribosomal RNA", at positions 355 to 776 of the family's 1533-position model. RNAcentral also lists the same sequence under 1 other name. The record is from RNAcentral. Lineage: Bacteria; Pseudomonadati; Bacteroidota.
UAGGGAAUCUUCGGCAAUGGGGGGAACCCUGACCGAGCAACGCCGCGUGAGUGAAGAAGGUUUUCGGAUCGUAAAGCUCUGUUGUUAAGGAAGAACGAGUGUGAGAAUGGAAAGUUCAUGCUGUGACGGUACUUAACCAGAAAGGGACGGCUAACUACGUGCCAGCAGCCGCGGUAAUACGUAGGUCCCGAGCGUUGUCCGGAUUUAUUGGGCGUAAAGCGAGCGCAGGCGGUUAGAAAAGUCUGAAGUGAAAGGCAAUGGCUCAACCAUUGUAGGCUUUGGAAACUGUUUAACUUGAGUGCAGAAGGGGAGAGUGGAAUUCCAUGUGUAGCGGUGAAAUGCGUAGAUAUAUGGAGGAACACCGGUGGCGAAAGCGGCUCUCUGGUCUGUAACUGACGCUGAGGCUCGAAAGCGUGGGGAGCGAACAGG